This is a long non-coding RNA of Diabrotica virgifera virgifera (western corn rootworm), 1439 nucleotides long. RefSeq lists it as uncharacterized. The transcript is spliced from 3 exons. The record is from RefSeq and is a predicted model, not a curated record. Lineage: Eukaryota; Metazoa; Arthropoda; Insecta; Coleoptera; Chrysomelidae.
GGAGAGAUUAAAUGUCCAGCAAACGACGGCAAUGUUGCCAGAUUCCCUUUAGCGGGAAUUUUAAAAUUUUAUAGCAGUUUGGUUUUAAAUUUGACAGUUCUGUUUUGUCAAGUCAAAAAUCUUAACCUUACUUUUACAAGUGAUUAGGAUUAUUAUUUUAUUUACAUAUAAAUUGAAACAAUAAAUAUUGUGCUGUGUCAUAAUUUAAAACUCAUUAUGUUGCAGUCUUUUCCAGUUGAUAAAAUUGCAAUUCAAAAACUUUUAGAUUUGCACUAGAUUGGCACAGAAAGAGAACAGUACAAGAACAUGAAACAUCUUAUUAUGAAUGUAUAUGUAAGUGAUCCUCAAAAAAUUAUUUUACAAAACAAGAUAGAGAAAGAGCUUUAAAAUCCCAAGGAUCCUGCAAAAUGUUUAUUUGGUGUACUAGUCGAAUAAUAGUAUCUAAAAAUAUUGAAACUAUUUUAAAACAUAUUACGGACAGGAGGAUGAUAUAGAGCACUUACAUAAAUACCAAAAUCAGAUAAAUAUCUCUUCAAAGUUUAUUUUGAGACUUUCUUCAAAAAUUAAACUUCAGACUGUUCAGGAUAGCAUAAUAGCAUAGGAGGCGAAUUAAAAAGAAUUAAUUUACUUACAAGUAAAGAUAUCACAAACAUUAAACUAUCUUAUGGCAUUGAUUUGAAAGAUGGGUAUAUGUACAAUGAUGAUGCAACCAGUGUUUAUUUUUGGGUUGAAUGCUUACAGACUCAUGUCCAAUAUUAUUUUACAAACAACAGGGCAUACUAAUGGAUAUUCAUUCUGAAUUUAACAUUUAUGAUUUUUGUCUUAUUUUCCUUAAUACUGUGCCAAAAGGAAAUGUUAAUUAAGUGUGGUAAAUCCUUUAUCGCAAUCGAUGGAACUCAUAGGCUCAAUUCCUAUGACUUUGAACUUAUGACAGUAUUAGUAAAAGAUGAAUUUGGGAAUGGAUUUUGUACUGCUUUCUUAUUUUCAAAUAGAAAAGAUACCUACUUUAAUUUACCGAUUUUUUAAAUACAUGUCUGUGUUGGUAUUAUAUGUAUAGUCAAAUGUUUUCAUAUCAGGCAUAAGCGACACCUUUUACAAUGCCUCGUCAAAUGUAAUGGGUAUUGCUCCUAAUAGACUGUUAAGUGCCUGGCACAUAGAUAGGGCAUGGUAAGUAAAUCUUAAUAAAAUAUCUGAUUCUGAAAAAAAUCCUAUUAUGUAUACAAGAUGUAUUAAUGAUGGUUUAGAGAGUAUUAAUAGCUUUUUGGGUAGACUUCUAAGUGAUGCAGAUACAUACAAUUUUAGUAAGUAUUUCCAGUAGAACUAGUGCAAUAACAUCCAACAAUGGGCCUAUUGUUAUAGGAAGGGGUUGUGGAAUUAAUACCAAUAUGACCAUUCAAAAUUUUCAUAAAAUUUUGGAUAAAAGUGGAAAACUUCGCACU